CUCACUCUAUAUAAACUUAACAAAAAGUUAAAUUAUAUGGUCAAUCUACAAUGGAGAGCCAAUCAUCAUCUAUCAUGGAACAAUCACACAUUGAAAGUGCUGAAACACCAUAGAUUAAUGAGGAUGAAUACGGGCCACUUUUCGGGGAAAAAACUUAUUGUGAUCUGUUUCUUUCGAAGACUAGUGUUAAUCCCCCAUACAAUUUGAUAGAAGGGUCUGAUUCAGGAGCAGAACAAGAGGAAUGAAGAGUUGUGGCAGGUGUUAGUUUCUUGGUGGUGGCGGGAGCAUGUAAUGACCUCCUUCCUCUUUACCAAUCCCCUUCAUCUUUCCAGUGCAAAGGUUCUGAAACAAGCAAAAGGAAGGAUAAAAGAAAACACAACAAUUCAGUUCUUUUGUGAGCUUAGAGAUGGAGAAAAGGUUGUAUGCAAAGUGGGGUAUGUAUAAAACAUACUGUAAUUCACUAUUGUCGAAGAUAGCAACAGAAACAGUAUGAGAAACUACAGUGAUUUGAUCAUUUGGUAGGUGGACAAAAUUUGAAUUGGGAGCAACUAAGGUGGGAUGCAGUAGUGAAUUCAAAUUUAAUACCAUGUGAUUCGUAGCCCCAGUGUCCACAAUCCAGAAAAUUGAAUCAUUUACCUAUAGAAAAACAAGCAUUGAAUGUAUAUAAUAUAGAGUGAAUUUUCUGAUGUGUACCUUCCAUAUUAGCAGCAAUGUCCUUUGAUGAAGCAUACUUGGCAAUAAGUUUCAUUAAAUACUGGUACUGAUCAUGUGUAAAGGUUGGCACAGGUUACAAUGAAAAGAGAUUUAGCA
Molecule: long non-coding RNA, 810 nt
Organism: Capsicum annuum
Lineage: Eukaryota; Viridiplantae; Streptophyta; Magnoliopsida; Solanales; Solanaceae
Exons: 3
Source: RefSeq, a predicted model, not a curated record